Molecule: long non-coding RNA, 1270 nt
Organism: Coregonus clupeaformis (lake whitefish)
Lineage: Eukaryota; Metazoa; Chordata; Actinopteri; Salmoniformes; Salmonidae
Exons: 4
Source: RefSeq, a predicted model, not a curated record
ACAUGCGUCUCAUGAACGCAGCGUUCAAGGCAUUACAGGAAAGUUUGAGCAGUGAGCACACCUGUCUGUUUUUUGUGUUUUCUUGUUCGUUGCUGGCUUACUAAAGCUAGCUCGCUUAAAAUACUGUAUUUCGAACCUUUUUUGUUGUUGUUGUUGUAAGAAAAGUGGUGUGUCUGAAGCAAGGUGACCAGCAAGCAAAUAUCGCUCUCAGCAGAUAUCUCUACUUCCUCAGCUUGUGAAUCUGACAUCAAUCACCAUGACUAUUCCACCCAUGACAGCGACAGAGAUGAGUACUACAACGCCACUUCCCACACAUACAGACUCCUCUACUGUCAUUGGAGUGGUCAUCGUAGUUGUACUGCUGAUGCUAGCUGGCCUGGGUUUCCUUCUGUACCGGUACUUGUGCCACAACAAGGGUGCCUACACAACCACAGGAGAACCUUCCCCGGUGGAAGACCCUGAUCAGGCCCACGGUAACAUUGUAACUGACGAAAAGAAGGAGUACUUCAUUUGAACAUGAUGGAAGGAUGAAAAGGAGGAAUGCGAGGAGAACUGUGGGUGGGUGUUAACAAAAUGUUAUCUGCCAAACUGAGAGGAAACAGGAAAAUGACAACCAUCUUUGAUGGCCAUCUACGGGAUUUCCACGGUUUUGGGGAAGACCUACAUAGAUUUAACCCAAGAAAACACUCACUUAUAGGCACAUAAGCUGGGCAGGAGAUGAGAUGCAUUAGUAAAAGAGGUGUGUGUGUGCGCACACUGAUGGGACUUGCAACGUAACAGUUGUGUGCACAUAAAAGAUCGUUGUGAAACACUGGUGGAUGGAAGACUUUAUGAGAUUCUUGCGGGUAAAUGUCUUAAGAUGACAUCAUAAAUAUGCCUCCAUUUCAGUGUCAUCACAAUUCAGUUAUAUAUCUGCUCCCCAUGUCAGCUCUGAAGGCUUUUAAUUUUAUGUUUUACUUUAACAUUUUCUGUAUUUAAUGAAUGAGUAUCCUGGGGUGCUAAAUGGGGAAUUUGAUUUGGUGAUCAGUAGAAGGCACUGAUUAAAUUGUAUUAUUCUUAUGCCAUUAUCCAUACUUUACAAGUUGGGCAAAACGAUAAGGAUUUUACUAUUGUCUAUCUGGGCAGCUAAAUGGAAAAUGUAUUGUAUCUGUUACUAUUACCAGCUAGAGAUUGUAUGAUCUUAUUGAAGUAUCUGCCAAAGGUAGUAAGUGACAUGACAGACCUCAAGACGGCAGGUCAGAUAUGGCAAUAAAGCUUUUUCCUUUUUUCA